GCCUUCGUGAUGUAGUGGUCAGCACGCUGGGCGCGUAUUGCAGAGGUCCGUGGUUCGAGUCCCGGCGAAAGCG
This is a non-coding RNA of Stegodyphus mimosarum, 73 nucleotides long. The record is from Rfam. Lineage: Eukaryota; Metazoa; Arthropoda; Arachnida; Araneae; Eresidae.